RNAcentral lists this ribosomal RNA (197 nucleotides) under uncultured bacterium. RNAcentral describes it as "partial 16S ribosomal RNA". It matches the Rfam family "Bacterial small subunit ribosomal RNA", at positions 328 to 539 of the family's 1533-position model. The record is from RNAcentral.
ACGCUCGACACCUACGGAGGCAGCAGUGAGGGAUAUUGGUCAAUGGGGGGAACCCUGAACCAGCAACGCCGCGUGAGGGAUGACGGUCUUCGGAUUGUAAACCUCUGUCCUCUGUGAAGAUAAUGACGGUAGCAGAGGAGGAAGCUCCGGCUAACUACGUGCCAGUAGCCGCGGUAAUCUGAGCGGGCUGGCAAGGC